RNAcentral lists this ribosomal RNA (468 nucleotides) under uncultured bacterium. RNAcentral's name for it is "partial 16S ribosomal RNA". It matches the Rfam family "Bacterial small subunit ribosomal RNA", at positions 28 to 507 of the family's 1533-position model. The record is from RNAcentral.
GACGAACGCUGGCGGCGUGCUUAACACAUGCAAGUCUAACGGAAAGGCCCUGCUGUUGAGGGGUGCUAGAGUGGCGAACUGGGGAGUAACACGUGAGUAACCUGCCCUGGACGGGGGGACAACUGCAGGAAACUGGGGCGAAUACCGGAUAGGAGCCCCAGCUGCAUGGUGGGGGUUGGAAAGUGUCGGCGGUGGGGGAGGGAGUCUCGGCUUAUCAGCUUGUUGGUGGGGUAGUGCCUUACCACGGCGUUGAGGGGUAGCCGUGCUGAGAGGGUGAGCGGCCACACUGGGAGUGAGAUACGCCCCAGACUCCUACGGGAGAGAGCAGUGGGGAAUAUUGCACAAUGGGCGGAAGCCUGAUGCAGAAACACCGCGUGCGGGAUAUGGACCUUCGGGUUGUAAACAGCUUUCUCCUGAGACGAAGAGAGAGUGACGGUAAUGGGUAAAGAAGCGACGGCUAACUACGUG